This 253-nucleotide ribosomal RNA is filed under the name uncultured bacterium. RNAcentral's name for it is "partial 16S ribosomal RNA". It matches the Rfam family "Bacterial small subunit ribosomal RNA", at positions 524 to 776 of the family's 1533-position model. The record is from RNAcentral.
UACGUAGGUGGCAAGCGUUGUCCGGAUUUACUGGGUGUAAAGGGCGUGUAGCCGGGCUGACAAGUCAGAUGUGAAAUUCCGGGGCUCAACCCCGGACCUGCAUUUGAAACUGUUGGUCUUGAGUAUCGGAGAGGCAGGCGGAAUUCCUAGUGUAGCGGUGAAAUGCGUAGAUAUUAGGAGGAACCCCAGUGGCGAAGGCGGCCCGCUGGACGACAACUGACGGUGAGGCGCGAAAGCGUGGGGAGCAAACAGG